Molecule: ribosomal RNA, 326 nt
Filed under: Aerococcus urinaeequi
Lineage: Bacteria; Bacillati; Bacillota; Bacilli; Lactobacillales; Aerococcaceae
Description: bacterial SSU rRNA
Rfam family: Bacterial small subunit ribosomal RNA
Source: RNAcentral
GUUGCCCAGCAUUCAGUUGGGCACUCUAAUGAGACUGCCGGUGACAAACCGGAGGAAGGUGGGGAUGACGUCAAAUCAGCAUGCCCCUUAUGACUUGGGCUACACACGUGCUACAAUGGAUGGUACAACGAGUCGCAAACCCGCGAGGGCAAGCAAAUCUCUUAAAGCCAUUCUCAGUUCGGAUUGCAGGCUGCAACUCGCCUGCAUGAAGCCGGAAUCGCUAGUAAUCGUGGAUCAGCACGCCACGGUGAAUACGUUCCCGGGUCUUGUACACACCGCCCGUCACACCACGAGAGUUUGUAACACCCGAAGUCGGUGAGGUAACC